Molecule: ribosomal RNA, 254 nt
Filed under: uncultured bacterium
Lineage: Bacteria
Description: partial 16S ribosomal RNA
Rfam family: Bacterial small subunit ribosomal RNA
Source: RNAcentral
UACGAAGGGGGCUAGCGUUGUUCGGAAUUACUGGGCGUAAAGCGUAUGUAGGCGGAUCGUUAAGUCGGGGGUGAAAUCCCGAGGCUCAACCUCGGAACUGCCUUCGAUACUGGCGAUCUUCGAGUCCGGGAGAGGUGAGUGGAACUCCGAGUGUAGAGGUGAAAUUCGUAGAUAUUCGCAAGAACACCAGUGGCGAAGGCGGCUCACUGGCCCGGUACUGACGCUGAGGUGCGAAAGCGUGGGGAGCAAACAGG